CCAGGCUACUCCAUUCCCAUAGCCGCGGCCAGCUAAAAAAGGAGGAAUCGAUGCCCCUGACCGGGGGUGCGGCAGUGUGGAGACCUGCCGUAAGGUCCGCCGGGUUCCGCUCCCGGCGGGCGAGGGCUCUCCCGCGGAGGCGGGGAGUCUGCGGUCUGCAUGUAUGGCA
This 169-nucleotide non-coding RNA is filed under the name human gut metagenome. RNAcentral's name for it is "malK-I RNA". It matches the Rfam family "malK-I RNA". The record is from RNAcentral.